This 328-nucleotide unclassified non-coding RNA is filed under the name soil metagenome. RNAcentral's name for it is "partial contains 5.8S ribosomal RNA, internal transcribed spacer 2, and large subunit ribosomal RNA". The stretch from base 1 to 120 matches the Rfam family "5.8S ribosomal RNA", at positions 35 to 154 of the family's 154-position model. The record is from RNAcentral.
GAUGAAGAACGCAGCGAAAUGCGAUAAGUAAUGUGAAUUGCAGAAUUCAGUGAAUCAUCGAAUCUUUGAACGCACAUUGCGCCCUCUGGUAUUCCGGGGGGCGUGCCUGUUCGAGCGUCAUUAUAACCACUCAAGCUCUCGCUUGGUAUUGGGGUUCGCGGUUCCGCGGCCCCUAAAAUCAGUGGCGGUGCCUGUCGGCUCUACGCGUAGUAAUACUCCUCGCGAUUGAGUCCGGUAGGUCUACUUGCCAGCAACCCCCAAUUUUUACAGGUUGACCUCGGAUCAGGUAGGGAUACCCGCUGAACUUAAGCAUAUCAAUAGCGGAGGA